GAUGAACGCUGGCGGCGUGCCUAAUACAUGCAAGUCGAGCGAACAGACGAGGAGCUUGCUCCUCUGACGUUAGCGGCGGACGGGUGAGUAACACGUGGAUAACCUACCUAUAAGACUGGGAUAACUUCGGGAAACCGGAGCUAAUACCGGAUAAUAUAUUGAACCGCAUGGUUCAAUAGUGAAAGACGGUUUUGCUGUCACUUAUAGAUGGAUCCGCGCCGCAUUAGCUAGUUGGUAAGGUAACGGCUUACCAAGGCAACGAUGCGUAGCCGACCUGAGAGGGUGAUCGGCCACACUGGAACUGAAACACGGUCCAGACUCCUACGGGAGGCAGCAGUAGGGAAUCCUCCGCAAUGGGCGAAAGCCUGACGGAGCAACGCCGCGUGAGUGAUGAAGGUCUUCGGAUCGUAAAACUCUGUUAUUAGGGAAGAACAAAUGUGUAAGUAACUAUGCACGUCUUGACGGUACCUAAUCAGAAAGCCACGGCUAACUACGUG
RNAcentral lists this ribosomal RNA (497 nucleotides) under uncultured bacterium. Its description in RNAcentral is "partial 16S ribosomal RNA". It matches the Rfam family "Bacterial small subunit ribosomal RNA", at positions 28 to 507 of the family's 1533-position model. The record is from RNAcentral.